AUUGAGCUGGUGGCUGUGGUCCAAAGUCAGCAGCUAGAACAGCGACUCUGCAGCUGCUCUCUUCACCCGCUGCUUCCAUCCUCGUUCCCCGAUAUGGAAAACUGAUAUACCUGUCUCUGCUCACGGUGUUUCUGCUCCUGUACUUCUGCAACUAAAGUCUUCACUCUUUUACUUGUGUAUUGGAGUUUCAUCUUCGCCGACACAUGACUUCACUCUAUUCCACUGCAUAUUUCUCCAGAAUCGAACCCGUGAUCCAAUGCUUCGAGACUUUAAGGAUCUCUGCCAGGCUGAUUCAAAGCCAUUUACCACUCAGUGGAUGACUCUAUUUCCAACCAGUGAUGUACUCAAAACAAGGAAAUUUGAAGCUACUCUAUUGACCUGCUUGCUUUUUGAUCCUCAUUUGAAGGUAUGGAUUGUGUCUGCGUCAGCUCUUGCCAGUUGCCAUGGAUGGGCCUUCAUCUAUUUUCCUUUAUGUGGCAGACUAUAAGAAAUCCACCAAAUAUGUAUCUUUUAUGCCCCUCUCCAAUUCCCUUGGUCUAAUACUGAUGCAACUCCACACAGGUCCUCCUAUUGCUUCCCUAAGUCGACGAAUUUAUAUAUGCGACAAAUUAGAUUAAAUCCUUAACAGCUCUUGAUUAAGAUUUACCACCUUUAUUUACUCGAGAAUGCCAGGAGAAUUGUUGCCAAAAGUUAUAUUGUCUCUCCAUGCCAGGAUUAAUGAGGGGUUUCCUUUAAAAAAUGAUAAAACUGGUGUGCUUGCCUGCUUGGAUGUUAAUUUAGUAUUUAAUUAACAUCCAAUCCAGAUAUUGUGCAAAGAAGUUGUGGCUCUCAGUUACCCGACCUUAGUGCCAGCAUAUUGGGAACGGGUCUCUGUCCUCGUGUAUGAAAUUUUGCAGUCUGCUGCUGUUGAAGUUCCUCCAACGACAUGGAAGGCUUCAGUUAGAGAGUCUAUUAGAUAUAUUGGGGAUAAAAUCCUACAGCUGCAAUUAAGGUAGGAUAUCAAAUAACCGUGUUCUAUAUAUUCGAUAUUGAAAACAUCUUCUAUAUUCCCUAGCUUCUUUACCAUA
Long non-coding RNA from Capsella rubella, 1067 nucleotides. RefSeq lists it as uncharacterized. Lineage: Eukaryota; Viridiplantae; Streptophyta; Magnoliopsida; Brassicales; Brassicaceae. The transcript is spliced from 6 exons. The record is from RefSeq and is a predicted model, not a curated record.